Molecule: long non-coding RNA, 3097 nt
Filed under: Cavia porcellus (domestic guinea pig)
Lineage: Eukaryota; Metazoa; Chordata; Mammalia; Rodentia; Caviidae
Description: lncRNA (ENSCPOG00000031648.1)
Source: RNAcentral
CUAGUGAGUUCCUCUUAGAGCCUUGUGGGGCGGGGCCGGGGGGGGCAGCUGGGACAUCCCACAUGCGUCUCUGAGUAGGGCACCACAGGGGGUGCCAUGCCCAGAGGAGGAGGAGGAGGAGGGCUGAGGCCCUCCUGGGGCCUGGUCUGCAUUUGGGUCCCACCUCCCAAUCUGGGGCCCAGCUACCUCAUUCCUGCUGCCCAGGGCUGCAGCAGCUGACGUACUUGGUGCAGACCCUUUCCAGUGCCCACCUAGGCUCUUUGGAGCCCACCUUACUAAACACACCAUCUUUGGCAGCACGCCUUCUUGGUCCCCAGAAUUCUCAGAGUGCAUGAUCUUGAAGAUCUGACUCUCUGGGCAGCUUUGGAAGAACUGACUCAUGGGAAAUAACCCUGAAUUCCUGGGAGAUGAAGGUGAGAAGGCCCAGCAUACAAAGUAAACAGAUGGACGUCACACCGUCACAGGCAGAGGGAGCCUGGCCGCAGCCGCGGUCACUCGGCAGCCGCUUUGAGCCACAGAGCACACUCAGUGAGGCCUGGAGCCUGAAGACAAACAGGCUUCUUGGCUGCUGGAGGUCCAUGACUCACAGCUCCGCUCCAGCCCACCCAAUUCCUUGGCCUCUGGUGGCUCAGGCCGAGCCCUCGGCCCACUGCCCGGCACAGCUGGGCAGCAUUAAGGACUUGGCACCCUCGGAGCUGGCCUCAGCUCCUCCAGGCCCUUCUGUUGUCAGGGGCUGACGGAGUCAGGACAGCCAGCGAGGGAGGAAUGUGUCUGCUCCGGGCCGGGCUGACACCGGGCUGCAGGGCAGGGUCAGCGGGGGUGAGAGCAGCUGCGGAUGACAGGCCUGGGCUGCCGGCUCCAUGUCCUGGGUCCUGGGUCACUCAGCGCUCCCAGAGACCUGGCCAGGCCCCUGGAGAAGCCCGGAGCGCUGGGAACUCACAUCAAGCCCUGCCAAGAACCUCAGGCCACCGAAGAACACUGGACAUGGCCUCCUGCUCCAAUGUACAUGUGCCUGUCCCAGUGGGCCAUGAGCGGUCUAAGGAAGUCCCUGAGAUGUUUCUCUUGAGGACAUCUGAUUCCCGCAUGGGCUGGCCAGGGGCGGGCACUGAGGUUCUCCAGCUUCACUCCUUCAGGUUUCUCAAAGAUAGGGCACAGCCUGGGUUCCUGGAAAUAGACACAGGUCUGAGUCUCAGCAGCACAGCCCCAGGCACCUCAUCUGUCAAGGCCGAGGCAGGCUGGUCUUUCUCCUUCAAAGAUGCCCUGCCCCUGGGGCCCUGGCCUGGCCUGCUAGCUCAGUUGCCUCUGCAGCCCUCUCCUCCUCUCCAGUGUCUUCCUGCAGUCCUGGGUCCGUUAGCGUUGCUGGAUGCUGAUGGCCCUGGGAGACUCCAGGCGGAAACACUGGAAAAGUCUCCUCUUCUGUCCUCACAGAAGACAAGAAUGAUUUUCUGAUUAGAUGUAAGGCAGCGGGAAGAGCAGAGGGGGUGGGCUCAGAGCUGGGAUGAUGCCCCAAUCUGGCUGUAGCUUCCAUAACUCAGUUAUGGUACCCCCCCGCCAUGAGUCAGGCCCCAUGGUGCCCCUCAGGCCUCCAUCUCCCUGAUCAGUGAGUCAGAAUCUUGGGUUGCAUGAUUUCACAGACACUGCCAGUUGCAGCCUUUUGGAAGACAAUGUGUUGCAUACCUUCUGGACUUAGCCCUUUGGGUAGCUCAGACCAGAGAGGGGUCCCAUCAGAUUUGGAGUGUGGAUCAUCCAGAGGAGAUGACCCUUGGAUGCUGGCUCAGCAACCACUCAGAGGCUCUGUGUCCUGGACCUGGAGGGCAGAGACAGGCCCCCCACCUUCUGAGCCCCAGCCUGCAGUGGUCUUGGACCCACUGGCCUCCCUGGCAGCUGAGUCUUGGCCUGCUGGCUUGGCUGGUUACAGGGAGACCUCAGGUGAGGGGCUCCUCUGAAGCCCACUCAGGAUGGGGCAUCCUCCUGGGGGGGGCUCUCUGCCUCUUGCAGAAUAAAGCCUUUGCUAGGCUUGGGGUCUCAUAGUAGUGGCUCUCAUGCCAGGUCAUCAAAAGGCUGUGAGGCCAGACCCCUGAGAAGUCUAUGAUGGAGAGGAGGGUUGGUAUCCCAGACAUGUCAGGCUCUGCCUUAAUCCAGGCUGUGUAGUCUUGGAGAACCAAGGUCUCUGUGUCUCUGUGGUCAGAAUGAUAGGAAAGAAACAUCCUUGCCAUCCUAUCCCAUGGCACUAGGCUCAGAGGAGAUGACAUCUGAAGAGCUAAGGGCGUGGCUCAGUGUGACCAAUCCCACUGCUUGUGAGAUGCACAUGAAGGCUGGUAGUGCAGGCUGCAAGAAGCACUUUAACAGCGGAGAGGAAUUUAGAACAGGUUUGCUGCCGAGAGGACAGCGGGUGGAUUUCCAAGUGCGAUCUGGGUCAGAGAUUGGGCUUUGCAUGAGGGUUGGAGGAUGCUGGGAAAAGGGUCCAAGCAGUAAAUGUGAUUAUCUAAAGAAUGUCUUCUUUGGGGUCACUCAGCACCUUGUAGAUUUCCUGGGAGCACCUGCAUCGCGUUUAAAAUUAUGCUCACAGCUACAGUUUAAUAGAAACCAUUCUCCUCUGGCUUGCAGAGGAUUUUAGCUUUAGAUAAGGAGCUCAGGAGGUCUGUGCAGGUCUUGUGGAGAAGUCAGACUGGGGCUCAUUUGGAGACACGAGGCCUUGACCAAAAGGUUUCUUGCUGUCUUAUGACCUCGUACCAAGAUCAAGAAAUAUGAAACUCUCUCAGUGGAGCCCUUCGUUGUGGGGUGGGAGGGCUUUAACUGGUCACCGAGUCUCACCAUUAAGGGUGUUAGUCCCGUGACCAGAGAGUGACCACUAUACUCAGUACGAGGAAAGGAGACGUGGUAGAAGCAGGGCCGUGCCCCAGGGGAGAGCCCUGUAGUGGACAUCAGAUCUGACCUCCAGCUUGUCACUUCCUGAGCAAGAUGUCGCCAAACUGCUGGCCGCCAAACACGGAUUCCCUGCUUACUAACCAAGAACAAUAUAGGGGUCCCCCACCUCUGUCAGUUAGGUUGGCUUUCCCAUAAGCAGACGCCAGUAUCUAGCUAUGAUUGAAGAAAU